Long non-coding RNA from Vespa crabro (European hornet), 1743 nucleotides. RefSeq lists it as uncharacterized. The record is from RefSeq and is a predicted model, not a curated record. The transcript is spliced from 3 exons. Lineage: Eukaryota; Metazoa; Arthropoda; Insecta; Hymenoptera; Vespidae.
GAUCUAUAUCUCGGAAGAAAAAAAACAAAAAGAAAAGAAAGGAAAGAAAAGAAAAGAAAAAAAAAAGAAAAGAUAAGGAAUAAAUAAACAAUCGAGAAUAUUUUCGAAAGCAUUAGCGAAUCUUCUUGAAUAAUUUCAAAUCUUGUACGAGGUUAACACUAUCGAUCGUGGUGUGUUUUGGAAAAUCGAACCAUCUUCUUAGCCAAGUAUCAGCCCCGAUGGCAUAAACCGAUAAUACCAGGGCGUAAUUUACAACGUAAGUACCUUGUCUUGUUACAUUAGAGAGAGUGAGAGAGAGAGAGAGAGAGAGAGAGAGAGAGAGAGAAAGAGAGAGAGAGAGAGACAGACUUGGUAAGGUUGUGUGUAUUCUUGAAAGGAGCUUGAUGUAUAAGUAACAACACCUUCUGGCAAUGUGUUUCACUUGUAAAUAACUUAACCACAACGACGACGACGACGACGACGACGUCGAGGACGUCGAGAAUGGAACGUUUUACCAGAUAAUUUGCCAAGAAGAGAAUCUAAAACCGAUCAUUUCUAUAUUCAUUCGAGGAUAACUCCAUCUUUUUCUUGCGUGGGUAUCCUCGUAAAUAAUUAUUUGAUCCUUCUCUCAUUUUUUGUUUUGUUUUUUAUGUAGAAAAAGAAAAAAACGAAAAGAAGAAGAAGAAUGAAUGAAUAAGUACACGAGUAUAUUAUACAUAUGUCCGGGUAUAUAAAAUACAAGUAUAUAAAAUAAUAAAAAUUAUUUUAUAUUAUAUGUUUGUACAUCAAUCUAACGAAAUGUUAUAUAACAGAAUAGAAUUUUCGAGGUAAAUGUAAGUGCUAUUAACUACGUAAAUGUUUGUGUGUGUGUGUGUGUAUGUGCGAGAGGACAUAGUCUAGGUCAUAAUUUAUGUUAUAACGUUUAUAGAAUCGAUCAUAAGAAUUAGUAAACAUUCCUAUUUGUUGUUUCCUUUGUCUUUAUAACAGAGAAAAGGUCCUAUCUUCAGUUCGGUUUAAACUAUCGUCUCAUCAACACGUACAUAUAUCAUUUGUCUUUAAAUAUAAAAGUUAUAGGUUUGUUCGAUGGUAUAUAUGUUUAAUAAAUUUCGAUAAUAUAGUCGUUUUAUUCAUUUCUUGAUGUAUUUCGAUAAAUUCAGAAAAAAUAUUUUAAGUAUAAAUUGGAAUAAAUCCAAAGAAAAAGUUCGAAGCUUCAGUUCGUUUUGGAUACUCGUUUCGUUAACGCGUAUAUAAUUUAUCGUCUACAAAUAUAAGAGUUGUAGAACUAUUCGAUGCGAUUGUUGAAAAGUGCAACUUAAUUUUCACAACCCGAUAAAACUCGAUUGGUAGAAGAGGAAAGUUCUUUUUUACGAUGUUAUGACGUCGAUAAUUGCAUUGCAAAUGAAAGUUACUUUGGAAGAUCCAAGCUCUUUGGUGAAACGACACCUUCUUCAAGGACGACUCCUUGAAACUUUAGAAGAAACAAACUUCAAAGCAAUUUCUUUCACUGGUAUCUUCUCUCUUACGUCACGUGAUCAGUCCAAUGAAUGGCCGCAAGCGACAUGAGCAAUGCAAUUAAGGAUCCAUCGAGCCGCGGCCAAUAUUCCUCCUCGAUCAACGCAUACAUAUCGAGUUACUAUGAUUUACAAGGAUCCCUGAGCAUAUCCUUUGAUAUCGUUCGUGAAUUUUUUAUGAUCUUUUUAACGGUUCCAUAAUCAAACAUUGGUCACUUCAUUUGAAUAAAUGAUCCAUCUACGUGAAUCUAAA